This 30156-nucleotide long non-coding RNA is filed under the name Populus tremula. RNAcentral describes it as "long non-coding RNA (PTRE_LNC001915)". Lineage: Eukaryota; Viridiplantae; Streptophyta; Magnoliopsida; Malpighiales; Salicaceae. The record is from RNAcentral.
ACAUAUAGGUCAACUGACAAAGCUCCAAACGUUGACUGACUUUCUCGUGGGAAGACAGAGUGAGACUAGCAUUAAAGAAUUGGGAAAGCUACGACAUCUACAGGGAGAUCUUCAUAUUCGGAACCUUCAAAAUGUGGUGGAUGCUCGGGAUGCUGGUGAGGCAAAUUUGAAAGGUAAAAAGCACCUUGAUAAGCUGAGGUUUACAUGGGAUGGUGACACUCAUGACCCGCAACACGUAACAAGCACGCUCGAGAAAUUAAAGCCACAUAUAAAUGUGCAGUAUCUUAAGAUUGAUGGUUAUGGAGGUGUAAGGUUUCCGGAGUGGGUAGGAGAGUCCUCUUUCUCCAAUAUAGUGUCCUUGAAGCUCAUUAGAUGUACAAACUGCACCUCCUUACCACCGCUCGGGCAAUUAGCUUCUUUAGAGCGUCUCUCCAUUGAAGGAUUCGAUAAAGUUGAGACUGUGGGCUCUGAGUUCUAUGGGAAUUGUACAGCUAUGAAGAAGCCAUUUGAAUCCCUCAAAACAUUAUCUUUUAAAAGCAUGCCAGAGUGGCGCGAGUGGAUUUCAGACGAAGGCAGCCAGGAAGCCUUCCCUCUUCUAGAGUCGCUUUCAAUCGAAGAAUGCCCGAACCUUGCAAAGGCCCUUCCUAGGUUUCCCAGGUUGCUCUCUCUCGAUGUUUCUGGAUGCCACUCCCUAGAGUCCCUACCCGAGGAAAUUGAUCAAAUGGGUUGUUCACCCUCUGAUUUAGGGCGAAUUGAAAUCAAGGGCUGUGCUUCUCUCAAAUGCGUCGCACUGGACUUGCUCCCCAAGUUAAAAUCUCUUUCUAUCUCUGACUGUCGAGAUCUCGAAUCAUUAUGUGCACAUGAAAGACCUCUCAAUGAUCUCACCUCUCUCCAUUCUUUGAAAAUCUGGGGGUGCCCUAAAUUAGUUAUCUGCUCCAGUCUUGACACAACUUCAUUUAGUAAACUGCAGCAACCUGAAGCUGUUACCUGAGAGAAUGCAUUCCCUCCUCCCAUCCCUUAACCUUUUGGUAAUAUAUAGUUGUUCAGAAGUUGAGUUGUGUCCAGAAGGGGAUUUUCCCUCCACAUUACAAUCACUUGAGAUUACGAAUUGCAACAAACUCAUUGCAGGCCGCAUGCUUCUGCCCUCAAGUCUUAAAUCUCUUAACAUCUCUUACCUAAAAUCUCUUCCAAGGCUUCAACACCUCACCUCCCUUACACAAUUGACAAUAAGUAACUGCCCUCUGAUUGAGUCAAUGCCAGAAGAAGGGUUGCCCUCCUCCCUUUAUUAUCUUCAAAUUCUGGGUUGUCCUAUGCUGAGUGAAAGUUGUGAAAGGGAGAAAGGUAAAGAUUGGCCCAAGAUUUCUCACAUUCCUCGCAUACAUAUUUAACCCAUAAUCAGCGGAGCAAAGAUGUAGCAGUUAAAAGGAGGUUUUCUUUCAAUCGUCCAACAUAUUGAGGUAUUGCUACUAAAUAGUUUAUUUUCUUUUCAGUAAUCCAAAGCAAUUUCAAUUAAAAUUUGGAUGAAUGAAAUACGGAUAUUGUCCAUUUUGUAUUGUUUUUAUUUGUUGGAUGUAGAAAUACAGAUAUUUUCUUCCUAUUGUCUCUCAUUCAUCUCCAUAAAUAAUAAUCAUCAUUCUAUUUCAAUAUAUCAAGCUGGAGGAUCAUCACAUGCUUCAGAUUUUGAACUGCCAGCACCACCCUUAAUUUGGACAGGAGGCUAUUGUCAUUGAAUUUUAGCAACGGAAUAUUUCUUUUGCUAAUUUAACAACAAAAUGUGUAUAUAUGAUUUUUUUUAAUAUUAACAAUGACAUUAGUGAUAGAAAAUCCAAGCUAAAAAGGAUUUAAAAAAUAUUAAAUUAUUUAAGUAAUUUGCAACGGAUUUUUCAUUGUUGACGUGCUUGGCAACAUCAAAUCUGCAACUGAUUCCAAAAAUAAAUCAAACCCUUAAUUAUAUAAAAUCCCCAUCCUUUCUCCUUUUCUCUUUUCCCGCAUCUUCAAAAAUUAAAAAAAAUAAAAAAUUCUCCAUCUCUUUCUCUAGUCUCUUCCCUUCUCCAAAAAUUCAAAAUUCAAAAACUUUUUUUUAUCUUUUAUUUAUUAUUUAACUUUGAUUAAAUUGUUUUUAUUCCAUAUAAAGCAGAAGUUAAAAAAUGAUUUUGGAGUACAUGUAAGUCAUAUCUUUUUUGGAGUUUACUGUUGUUCAGGACAAAUAAUUAGUCAUUUUCAUAUCAUCCGCCAUUUCCGCUCUUUAGUUAACUUGCAUACAUACAGAGAGAUCAUUUUGGUAAAAUUAUUAAGAAGCAAAGCAAAUUCCUUCAUCAGAUAUGGGAUUUCAAAGGAAAAAUAGGGAUUUAAAUCUUUACGGACCAUUCGUAAACCAUUGAUCUGAGAGAGGGAUAUUUGGGUUUCGUGCUUGUUUCAUAAAUAAAUAAAUAAAUAAAAUUUUCUCAUGAGGAGAUUUCAGAUAUAAUAAAUUAUGUUCGUUUGGAUCUACGAAGGAAAGAGGAAGAAGAAGUGGAAUGGCUAAUGGCUAAGUUCUUAAAUUGGAUGACCGGCUUAGCAAUUAAAGGGUUACUGGCUACUAAAAAAAAUGAUAUGAAUUAUUAACAACAAACAAUUAAAUAAAAAAGAAGCUGAUAACUGAAAAAUCAGCAACGAAAAUCCAAUGUGAAGCUAAAACCUAAGCUAUUAGAAUAGUCAAGUUAACUGUUUAAACUUACAAUUGUGUUAGUGGAAGUUGGAUAACUCGUUAAAAAAAUAUUAUAUUAAAAUAAAAAAUUUUAAAAAAUAUUGAUUAAAAUAUGAAGUGAAAAGAAAGAUUGGUAUAUAAUAAAAAUUAUUCCAAUCAAACCCACUUUUUCGACCAUGGGAUCUCUUGGCAAAUAAAGCAAGUAAAAUUAGUAAAAUGUGGGACCUAGCUCCAAUUUCCUAGCACUCAUAAUCGUAAUUUUAAAACUCAGCAUAGCGGGUUGACCUGGAACAUGGUUGAUUUGGGGCUGAAACCUAAUCGAAUUGAAAAAAAAAUCCGAUAUGACUCGAUUGAACCAGCGAGUUGAUCCGACCGCAAGCCCAUACUUUAUCAAUGAAAUAAAAGUGAUAAAAGAAAAGGAGAGAAGAAAUAAAGUGAAGUCUUCUUCUGCAUUAUUAGCACAUCACGUGAAAAGAAAGAUACAAACAAAGUUACUCCAUUUUCCUCUCACUUUUUCAACCGAUGGGGCUUCUUGGCAAAUAAAGCAAGGACAGACCGAGUUGAUGCGCUACCUAACUCCUUUUUCCUGGCCCGCGCAAUUCACGCAUACACAAACACAUCAAAAUUUACUUUAAUUUAGAAAAGAUUUUAAAAUUUUAUUUUUUAAUUUAAUAAUAACAAAGUUUUAUAUUAAAUUGGUUCACCUAAUUUAACCUGUUAUUUAUAAUUCAGGUUAUGAAAUUAUAAUACCUAAUUCCCAAAUAACCAAAUAUGAUUAAGUUUUUCCAAUCAAACCCCUCUUUUUUUAAGAUGUAAAGUCUAGCAAAAUAAAUCAAAGACAAACAGAGUAAAAUUUCAAAAAAAAAGAGAAAGAUGGAAUAUCCCACCAAUAUUUAACCCACUUAAAUUGAGUCCAAAUCAUAAGAGCAUCUACAAAGGAUUGUUAAAUGAAAAGUUAAAAGUUAAAAAAAUAUAUAUUAUUUUGACUCUUUCAUGUUUAUUUUAUACACUUCAAAAAAAUAUUAAAUAACAUAUCAAAAUAUCUUUUCUUUCUUAUAAAUACUAUUUCUACAUAUCUAUAAAAAAAACCAAUACUAAAAAAGUAGGGUCAUCAAAAAAUAAACCAAUUAAAUAUAGUCAUAUGAAAAAAAAAACAUCAAACUCAUUAAAAAAAAUAAAACACUUUUUUCUCUCACUCUAGUACAAUUAGCUUUUCAAAUAGUUUUUUUCAUUAAAAUAUAUAUAAUAAAAAAAUUAUAUUUAUAUUAUUCAAAAUACUAUUUUAUCAAUUUAGCUAUUCAAAACAUUGUUAUUAAACCCGACCCGGCCAGGUAGAUCGACCGAGUGACUAGACCUGUCCGGGCUUGUCAAAAAACUGGUCAGUGCAAUAACCUGGCAAAACUCAAUUGACCUGACGAGUUGACCCAUGACCCGGGGGAACUUGGACGAGCCCUUUUUUUGUUUUUUAAAUGUGGUUUUUCUCCUAUCCCUUUUUUUUAUAUAUUUUUUAGUUGGUUAUUAAUAUUUUUUAAAAUUUACUAUAUAAAUAUUAGAAAAGUAUUUUAUUUUUUCAAUGUAAAAUUUGAAAUCCUUUAGUAUAUAUACUAUAUUUUGCCAAGAAAAAAAUUUAUUUUUUCAAUGUGAGAUUUGAAACCUUUUGUAGAUAUAUUUUAUGUUCACAAGGAAAAAAUUAUGUUUUUUCAAAAUAAAAUUUGAAACCCUUCAGUAUAUAUACUCUAUAUUCCCAAGAAAAAAGUUAUUUUUUCAAAAUGAGAUUUGAAACCCUUUAAUAUAUAUAAUAUGUGUUUUCAGAUCAUUUAGAUGUGUUGGUAUCAAAAAUAAUUUUUUAAGAAUAAAAAAAUAUUAUGCAACCAACUUGGGUUAACCCAUUAAGCAUUAUUCUCGUAUCAUGGUUCAGAAUAACCUAAUAGAAAAUAAAUAAAACAAAUCAUGAAGUGUGAACCCCGAUUGAAAAUUAGGCAGAAAAGUAAUCUAAAUGUUUAUACAAUAGAUUUAACAGAAGUACCAAAUAAGCAUUAGAACAAACCAAAUACAAGCAAAAGAAAAUAUAUAAGUAAAUGUGAAUAACAUAAUGUUGGAAGUGAGUUACCUAAAAAUAAAAUUAUCAAUAUGUAACUAAAUAAAAUUCAAAUUCACCCCGGUAAAUUUUUUAUAUAGACAAAUGCCAGGUUCAGAAAUUUUUUCCCGAGAACAUGAAAUUUACUAUUUGGAUAAUAGAGGGAAUUUGGUAAAAUUUAAGAGUGGGCGCGCGCUCGGGUGAGAAGAAAAAUGGAGAAAAAAAGAAAGAUGAGAAACUACCAUUUACAUGUGAGAGAGAUAGAAUUGUAAUGAAAACAUAAAAUUUUAAGGGAAGAUCUUGAGGGAACAUUAACCAAGCUUAGUGAGCAUUAAUUGGAAGAAAUAAAAAUCAUGUGAAGGUGAGUAUAAAUGGAGAGAGGAAGUUCCACCAAGUUAAAGAAGAGGAGGAGUUGAAAGUUUCAUUUGGGAAGUGUUUAGAGUUUAAUUGAAUUUUAAUGGCUUAAAGUUCUUAAUUGAUUGAAUUCUUGAAAUUAAAAAGUUAGGGUUCUUCAAUAAAUUUGGGGGAAAUAAAAAUUAAUUGUAAUUUGUCAUGGAAAAUAGUGUGAAAAUUAGAGUAAAGUAAUUAAGUUAUUGUAAUUGAAGUAAAGUAUUUGAUAAUUAAAUAGAGUUAGUGGCCGGCCAAAUGAUGAGAGAUUUUAGGGGAUUUAAUUGUGAAUAAAUGUUGUGAAUUGAUGAAUAAUAUAGUAAGUAGAACUAUUUUUUAAAUAUCUCUUUACAACUUUUUAAAUUUCAUGGAACACUUGUGUUGAUUCUUGAGAUUGUGUGAAAUAUUACUACCAUAAAAAUAAAAAAAGAAUUGAUGUCUAGAUGAGGAAUAUCAUUGAAUUGUUGGUCCCUAUUAGAUUUUGGUAUGUAAUGGAGUCAUGAGACGUUAAAAAUUCUUGAGAGAUGUUAAAUUAGUGGCUAAAAUUCAUAGAAUGGUCUAUUUUUUAGAAAUAUAUUUUACUAUGAAAUUUAUUUGAUAAAAGAAAAGUAGGAAAUUUAUGGUAUAUUUCCUUGACAAUGAGUACCCGAUUAAACAAUAUGUAUAUUCAAUUAAAACUUAUAGUAUAUUUCCUUGACAGCGAAAUAAAAAAAAGUAGGAACCCUGUAAUAUCUAGGUAAUUUCUAUGCCCUUUUAAUGAGUCCUACAAACCGAGGCUGUAAUGAGCCCAUGACAGAAGGAGAUAGGAAAGUGUAAUUUCAGAAGACCAUCACACAAAUCAACGGCUGAAAUCCAAUCACUCAAGGGAUGGUGACACGUCGCAUGAGUAGAGACAGCUAGUCUUUAGUACGAAAAGAAAAAGAUAAAUUAUUUUUACUCUUGAUUUGUUUGAUUUAAAUAAUAUUGAAUUAAAAUUAUAAUUAAAAAUAUUUAGCUAAAAUUAUGAUUAGAAUUGAACUACCACAAAAGAUACUGGUGAAGGUGGAGAGGAUGUGAGAGGCGAUUGGGAUCCAAAACAUCAACUGUUGUGGUCAAUUCUGGAGGACUAAACACUUCAGGCUCCUUUCCCGUCCUUUUCCUCGCUGGAUCCUUGAUAUCUUCUUCAAGGUGUGCAGGCGCCUUGUUCGAGGAUUGAGCAUAGAAAGACUAAAAAUAGUUAAAUAAAUACGAAAAGACAUAAGGUGAAGUUUUUAUAAUAUUCAUAGCAAUAGCCAUCACCUCAUUUAUAAUUUACUAGUUACAUGCCCCACGCGAUGUCGCGAGUCAAUUAUUUUUUGUAUUUUAAAAAUAGUCAAGAUCUAAAAGUGUUAGGUUUUUUUAUAAAGUUAUACCCAAAAGUCUCAGUUUUGGUUGCUUCGCCUGAUCCAAGAGUAAUGUUUAUAAUAUUAAUAAUAACAUUAAACUUGGGUUAACCCUUAGCAUAAAAGUGUCUGGACUACAAUAUCAGAUCCAAUAACAUUGGACGUGGGUCUGGCUGCAAGGUCGUGUCAUAAAAGUGUGAUAAUUAAAUAGAUUAAUUAAAAAAAACCAACAGGAAGAAAAAAACUAAUAAAAAAAAAGAAAAAAAAUGAAUUAAUUGGGUUAACCCUUCAAACCAGGUUAACCCGUCAUACCUUGAAUUCGCAUCAUGAAAGUUUGAUAAUUAAAAAAAAAAAAUUAAUGGGUUAACCCAGAAUUAACUGGGCUAACUCGUCAAAUCAGGUUAACCUAUCAAACCCGGAAUCCGUGUAAUGAAAGUUUGAUAACUAAAUAGAAAAAAAUUAACAUUAAUAAUUUAAAUUAAAUGAAAAAAAUUAAUUAAAAAAAAAACAAAAAGCAUCAGCCUUUUCACUGUGGACUGCACUAUGCAGUCCACAGUCAAAGGCAUAAAAAAUAAAGGCAUCAGCCAAAAACUACUUAGAAAAAAAUUUAAUAUUAAUAAACUAAAUUAAUUAAAUAAAAUUAAUUAAAAGAAAAAUAAAAGAAAAAAACCUCUAAGAAGAAAAAAAACUAAAUAGAAAGAAAUUUAACAUUAACAAACUAAACGAAACGAAAAAAAAAUUAAAAAAAAAUUCAGGUUAACUCGUCAAACCAAGUUAACCCGUUAAACCCGGGAUCCGUGUCAUGAAUGUCUGGUAACUAAAUAAAAAAAAGUGAACAUUAACAAACUAAACUAAACAAAAAAAAAUUAAUUAAAAAGAAAAAAAAUCUGGGUUAACUCGUCAAACAUACAUACCGUUAAACCCAGGAUCUGUGUCAUGAAAGUCUGAUAACUAAAUAAAAAAAAUUAACAUUAACAAACUAAAUUAAACAAAAACAUUUAUGAAAAUAAUAAUAAUAAAAAUUAACGGUCAACCCGGAAUUAACUGGGUUCACCCGUGAAACCAGGUUAACCUGUGAAACUCGGGAUAUGUGUCAUGAAAGUCUAAUAACUAAAUAGAAAGAAAUUUAACAUUAACAAACUAAACUAAACGAAAAAAUUAAUUAAAAUAAUAAAAAGCAAAAAAAAAAUCUAUUUUAACUUGUCAAACCAAGUUAACCCGUUAAAUCCGAUAAACGUGUCAUGAAAGUCUGACAACUAAAUAAAACAAUUAAACAUUAAUAAACUAAAUUAAACAAAAAAAAUUGUUAAAAAAAACAAAGGAAGAGGCAAAAAAAAAAUCCCAAAAAACAUAAAAAAAACUAAGACAACUUAAAAAAAAACACCUAAGGAAUCAGUGUUUUACUGUGGAAAUGAAAAAAUUAAUUAAAAAAAAAUCUGAGUUAACCCAUUAAACCUGGAAUGCGUGUUAUAAAAGUUUGAGAUAGAAAAAAAUUUAACAUUAAUAAAAAAUUUUAUUUUUAAAUAUCCAUUAAAAAAAAUGAAGAAAAAGAAAAGCAAAAAGUAAAAAAAAACAUCUGAAUUAAUUGGGUUAACCCUCAAACCAAGUUAAGCCGUCAAAACAGGGAUUCGCGUCAUGAAAGUUUGAUAACUGCAUAAAAAAAAAAAUUAACGGAUUAACCCAUAAUUAAUUUGGUUAACCUAUGAAACCAGAAAAAAAAUCUGGGUUGACCCGUUAAACCGGGAAUGCGUGUUAUAAAAGUUUGAGAUACAAAAUUUUUUAACAUUAACAAAGUUUUUUUUUUUUUAAAUAUCCAUUAAACAAAAAAAGAAAAAAAAAAAAAACAAAAAAAAAAACGAAAAAAAAGACAGCUCAGUUAAAAAAAAAAAAUGAAAAAAAAGACUUAAAAAAAAAAAAAAAAAAGGAUCGGUGUUUUACUGUGGACUGCACUGUGCAGUCCACAGUAAAACACAGAUCUCUUUUAGCUAUAUAUAUAUAAUAUAAUAUAAUAAUUUAUCUAUUUAUCAAUGAGUUAAAUGACCCGCGCGAUGCCGCGGGUCAAUUAUUUUUUACAUUUCAAAAAAAAAGUUAAGAUCUAAAAGUGUUAAGUCUUUCUACAAAGUUAUACCCAAGAGUUUUAGGUUUGGUUGCAACGUCUAACCCAAUAGUAACAUCUAUAAUAUUAAUAAUAACAUUAAACUUGCAUGACUCAAAUUUAAGUGGGUUUGACUGUAAUACCAAACCCAAUAGCAUUGGACGUGAGUAUGGUUGCAAGGUCGUACGAUAAAAGUGUGAUAAUUAAAUAGAUUAAUUAAAUACAAAAAAACAAAGAAAAAAUAACUAAUAAAGAAAAAGAAAAAAAAUGAAUUAACCCUUCAAACCAGGUUAACCCGUCAAACCUUAGAUUCGCGUCGGAAAAGUUUGAUAACUAAACAGGAAAAAAAAAAAUUAAGGGGUUAACCCAGAAUUAAUCGGGCUAACUCGUCAAACCAGGUUAACCCGUCAAACCCGGAAUCCGUGUCAUGAAAGUUUGAUAACUAAAUAGAAAAAAAUUUAACAUUAACAAUUUAAAUUAAACAAAAAAAAUUAAUUAAAAAAAAAACAAAAGGCAUCAGCCUUUUUAUUGUGGACUGCACUGUGCAGUCCAUAGUCAAAAGCAUAAAAAACAACAAAAAAAAGAAAAAGAAAAACUAAAGGCACCAGCCGAGAACUACAUAGAAAAAAAUUUAGUAUUAAUUAAAUAAAAUUAAUUAAAAAGAAAAAAAACCUCUAUGAAGUAAAAAAAAAUUAAAUAGAAAGAAAUUUAACAUUAACAAACUAAACUAAAUUAAAAAAAUAAUUAAAAAAAAGCAAAAAAAAAAUUCAGGUUAACUCGUCAUACCAGACUAACCCAUUAAACCUGGGAUCCUUGUCAUGAAUGUCUGAUAACUAAAUAAAAAAAGUGAACGUUAACAAACUGAACUAAAUGAAAAAAAAUAAUUAAAUAGAAAAAAUUUGGGUUAACUCAUCAAAUUAUGUUAACCCGUUAAACUCCGGAUCUGUGCCAUGAAAGUCUAAUAACUAAAUAAAAAAAAUUAACAUUAACAAUCUAAAUUAACCAAAAAAAAUUAUGAAAAUAAAAAAACAAAAAAAAUUGACGGGUCAACCUAGAAUUAACUGGGUUCACCUGUGAAACUCAGGAUAUGUGUCAUGAAAGUCAGAUAACUAAAUAGAAAGAAAUUUAAUAUUAACAGACUAAACAAAACAAAAAAAAGUAAUUAAAACGAUAAAAAAAAGCAAAAAAUAAAUUAUGAGUUAACUUGUCAAACCAGGUUAACCCGUUAAACUUAAAAAACGUUUUAUGAAAGUUUAAUAACUAAAUAAAAAAAAUUAAACAUUAAUAAAGUAAAUUAAACAAAAUUUGUUUUGUUAAAAGAUAAAAAAAGAGCAAAAAAAAAAUCCUGAAAUUCAUAAAAAACAAUUAAAAAAAUAACACAACUUAAAAAAAAAAAAAAACAAACCUAAGGCAUUAUGAUCAUUGUUUUACUGUGUAUUGCACUGUGCAGUCCCGUGAAGGCCCCAGUCAAACACUGAUCUGUUUUAGUAUAUUUUACAAAUAUAAUAAUUUAUCUACUUUAUCAAUGAAAAGUAAUAAAAGAAAACGAAGACAAGAAAUAAAGUGAAGUCUUCUUCCGCAUUAUUAGCACAUGUGAAAAGAAAGAUUGGCAUGUAAUAAAAGUUAUUCCAAUCAAACCCACUUUAUUAAAGUUGUUGCAAAUAAAGCAAGGACAGGCCGAGUAAAGUGGGGGACAUACACUAAUAAGUUAACUAGCUUUGAUACCCGUGCGAUGCCGCGGGUUAUUUUUUUUAUAUACAAAAUAUUUUAAAAAAUAAAAAUAUAAAAAUCUUGAGUUUUUCUACAAAGUUAUACCCAAGAAUCUUGAGUUUGACUGCAACGACUGAUCUAAGAGUAAUAUUUAUAAUAUUAAUAAUAAAAUUAAACUUGCAUGACUCAAGUUUAAUUGAGCCUGACUGUAACACUGGACCUAAAAAUAUUAGAUGUGGGUCUGACUAUAAGGUCGUGUCAUAAAAGUAUGAUAAUUAAAUAGAUUAAUUAAAAAAAAACAAAGAAAAAAAUCAACAAAAGGAAAAAACUAAUGAAGAAAAAGAAAAAAGAAAAAAGAAAUUAAAUUAAUUGGGUUAACCCUUUAAACCAGGUUAUCCCGUAAAACUUGAGAUUUGCAUCAUAAAAGUUUGAUAACUAAAUAGAAAAAAAAAUGACGGGUUUACCCAGAAUUAACCGGGUUAACCUAUCAAACCUAGUUAACCCGUCAAGCCUGCUAAAAAACAAAAUCAGACCCAAUAGCCUUGUAUGCGGAUCUGGCUGCAAUGUCAUGUAAUAAAAGUGUGAUAAUUAAAUAAAUUAAUUAAAAAGAAAAAAAACCAAUUGAAAGAAAAAAACUAAUGAAGAAAACGAGAAAAAAUCUGAAUUAACUGGGUUAACCCGUUAAACCUUGGAUUCGUGUCAUGAAAGUUUGGUAACUAAAUAGAAAAAAAAAUUGACGGGUUAACCCAGAAUUAACCGGACUAACCCGUCAAACCAGGUUACCUAUCAAACCUAGGAUCCGUGUCAUGAAAGUUUGAUAACUAAAUAGCAAACAAAUUGAACAUUAACAACCUAAACUAAACGAAAAAAAUUAAUUAAAAUUUUUUUUUUUUUAAAAAAAACAAAACAAAAGACAUAAGCCUGUUACUAAUGAGGAAAAAGAAAAAAAUCUGAAGCAACUCAGUUAACCCUUAAAAUUAGGUUAACCCGUCAAACCUGAGAUUCGCGUCAUGAAAGUUUGAUAACUAAAUAGGAAAAAAUAAUUGAUGGGCUAAACGAAAAAAAUUAACAAACUAAACUAAAUGAAAAAAUUUGAUUAAAAAGGAAAAAAACAAAAAAAAAUUGGGUUAACUCAUCUAAUUAAGUUAACCCAUCAAACCCGAGAUCCGUGUCAUGAAAGUACGAUAACUAAAUAAUUUUUUUUUUCCACAUUAACAAACUAAAUUAAACAAAAAAAAAUUCAUUAAAAGAAAAAAAACACAAAGAAAAAACUAAAAUAAAAAACUCAUAGGCAUAAAAAAAGAAGGGAAAAAGAUCUGAAAAAAAAAAAAAAAAACAAACAAACACUUUAGCUACAGUAUUUUACCUACGCGUUUUAGUAUAUUAAUAUUAAUAAUAAUAAUAAUAACACUAAUUUGAGAUAUUUUUUUUACUUUGGAGUUUACAGGCAAAUAAAGUGAUGGAAGAAAAAGUCUUCUUCUGCAUGAUCACAUGAUGCGAAAAGCUUGGCAUUUGCUGAAGUUUUUCCAAUCAAACCCACUUUUUUCAAAGAUGGAAUUUCUCGGAAAAUAAAUCAAAGACAAGCCGAGUAAAAUGGAGUUCAGUGUUCUAUAUAUUUCUCAAGGGGAAAAAAAUAACGUCGUUUUCUUUUCUAUACAACUGUUUUGUUAGAGAUCUUAGCCGAUGCAUCUGAAUUAUAAUUUUUAGCAAUUAUAAUAUUUUAUAGCGCUAAUAUCUUACAAAAACAUAUUUUCUAGCUUUUUUUUUUUUUAUAGUAUGAUCAAAUAUUAAAAAAUAUUUUUCAACUCAUUAUCUUUAAUACAAUUAAAUUUCAUAGAAUUGUCUAUUUUUUUGAAAUAUAGUUUACUAUGAGAUUUAUUUGAUAAAAGAAAUUCACUUUGUAACAAUACACUAGAAAAAAAGAAGAAGAAGCUAAUGAUCAUUUAAACAUAUAGUCUCGCCAGAGAGACUAUAUUGGAAUCAUCUUGCUCAACAUGUCGAAUGAUGCAAGCGGAAGCAUAAUAAAACAACAAUAAACACAGACAAAAUAGAAAAUAAAGUUGAAUUAGGGUUAAACAUAAAAAAUCCUAUAACCUUAUUAUAUGUUUGAGUUGGCUUUUUAAAGAGGUUUACGAUGUUUUUUAUAACCUAAAAAAAACUGAUUACGCUAGAAAAUAAAAUUAAAAUCCCUAAAUAUAAAAGAAAAUAGCAUAAAACCAAAAACAAACAAUAAAUCUAAAAAUAUAUAAGAAAAAUAAUAAAUAUGAUCAAACAAACAACUUCAAAACCCGAAUCAUGCAAGUUAUAUAAUGAACAUAGUGGCUUCCCAUUAGAAAAAUACACAAGUUAUAUAUAUAUAUAUAUAUAUAUAUUAUAAUUAAAUUUAAAAAUUAUAACAAAUUAUUCCUGUUUUUAUUUUUUAACUUAAGGAUGAACAAUCUUGAAAAUGUGAGGAUGUUUAUUAAGGACUUGAGAUUGUUAACGUUGCAUCAACAGCCGGCUGAUCUUGUCAAUUCUGCUUAGACAAAAGGGUGUUGGCAAGUGCUUUCAAACGAUGUCAAGGAAAAAAUAAAUUUAAAGGAUAAAUUUUUUUUAAAAUCAAAACAAAAUAUAUAAAAUUAAAAGAUUGAAGAACAGAUUUUAUAUAAUCAAUAAAUAAUUUAAUAUAUUUUUUUAUUUUUUUACAACUUUUGAAAAAUAUAUUUGACUCAAAAUAAUAAAAAAUAUUUUUAUGAAAACAAGUCAAACAUUUUUUUAAUUUAGAAGUUUUUUUUAUUAAAUAAAUUUUUCAACGACAAACAAAUAUAAAAAAAGAAUUAAAAAAUGAUUUAUCAGAAAACCACAAACAAACUGUGCCUAGACUUCUUUAAUUUAGAAUUGCAAAUGUAUUUUGUUUGCAGUUUCUUCGUCUCUCUACCCUCCAAUCGAGGAUUUGACAACGACAUUGCAUGAUUUCUCUCUGGUCUAUGAACCAUUAAACAACAAUCACUCGAAACCCACGUACAGUCCCUGCCAUCCUCUCUUUCCAUUAAAAUGGAAGUCGCUGCAUGUGUUGCAUGUUCUCAUUAAGUCAAUAUGUGCAUGCAUGAUUAAUUAUGCACUUUGUAACCAUAAAUCUUCCUUUAAUCAUUCCAAAAAAGAAAAAAAUAGAAAAGAUUUUCUCUGAUCUGUUUGGUGAGUCCCAAUUAUCACUGGCUUUCAAUUUCCAUCCCGUCCUUUCUAGCUGGAUUGCGUGUUUUUUCUCUUCUUUUCUUUUUUGCUGGAAUACAAUAAUGCAUCACAAUGGUUAAUUCCAUGGUAAUUUCUUUAAUCAUUUAUAUACAUAAAUUUGGUUACAGAGGAGAAUGACACUUCCACCUCUAUAUUCAAAUAUUUAUUAAAAAUAUAGUUUAAUUGAUUAGGUUCUGAAUUUGUUUUUUAAAGGUUAAUAAUUCAAGUUUUAUAAACCUCAUAGUUAUUAAAGACUUACAUGAUCAUUAGCUUAGGACCUACGAAAUUAGUUGAAGUACGCACAAACUAGUCAAGAAAUCCAUGUUAAUUUUUAAAAAAAAAGUUUUGUAUUUUUAUUCAUUUUUAUUUAUAUAGUAUCUUUGAAAACAAAACAUCAAAUAUAACAUUGAUGGUUCAGAAAUAAUUCCAAAUUUCGAAGUAUACCAAAUAAUUACUUCCAAUCCACCCCAUUCAUAGAUCGUGUUAAAAACCAUGCUGUAUAUAUUUGAGGGGUGCAAGCGCCUUGUUUGAGGAUUGAGCAUAAAAGACUAAAAGAGUUAAAUAAAUACUAAAAGACAUAAAGUGAAGUUCUUAUAAUAUUCAUGGCAAUGGUCAUCAGCUCAUUUAUAAUUUAUUUAUAUACUUUAUCAAUGAAAUAAAAGUAAUAAAAGAAAAGGAGAGAAGAAAUAAAGUGAAGUCUUCUUCCGCAUUAUUAGCACAUCACGUGAAAACAAAGAUCGGCAUAUGAUAAAACCCAUUCUUUUCAAAGAGCAUAACAAGGGCCGAGAGAGACAAGGCUUUUGCGAGUUCUGUAUAUUUUUCUGUGGUGGUCCCAGCUAUUAUGUUGCUGACACUGGAUAGAGAGACUUCAACCACCAAUCAAAUUAUUUUUAUUGACCUUUUGUGCUGUUCGUCACUUUCCUUCGCUCCUUCUCUCUUUGCUGUCAAAUUUCAAAAACCUUAGCUAUUAGAAUAGUUGAGUGUUUGUUUUUGUAUUUUAAAAGAGUUUUUAAGAAUUUUAAAUGUUUUUAUUUUAAAUCAAUUUUUUAAUUGACUCCAUAAUAGAAAAGAUGCCAUCCCCCUAAUACAAAACUCUAAAAAAAAACAAUGAUCGUGCCACCACCGGUGGUUGUGCUGUUUUAUGACAUCACAAGCCAUAUAAGUAGCUGAUUAGAAUGAUUUUGUAUGGGACCCAGUUGUGACAUCAGCUGUUUUUGUGUUUUCUCUUUCAAUCAUAGCUAAAGACUAGGCAUGGCAUGAUAAUCGAUGGAUGGGGGUAGGGAUAAUGGGAGCCACAUGAUCCAUUUCGUGGUUGUUUCUUUCUUCUAUAAAGAAGAUCAUGCCAUCACGGAUCUUACGGGAUUGAUAUCUUGCCCGGUGUUGAUUUACUACAAUGGCUGCACGUGAACCCGUCCUCCAGGACAACUCCCAACAAGUGUCUGUCUAUCACUCUCAAAUUAAUUUGAUAUUUCUGUUCCAGUGCCUCCAUAGAAGAGUAUAGGUGUUAAUCAUUUUUUAUUUUUAUAUUUUAAAAGUUUUUUUUAAUAAUUUUUAUUUUUUACUUUAGAUUUUUUUUUGAUAUUUUUAGAUAUUUUGAUAUAAAAAUAUCAAAAAUAAUUUUUUUAAAAUAAGAAAAUAUUAUUUUAAUAUUUUUCCAAAUAAAAAACAUUUUAAAAAACAACAACAAUCAUAUUUUUAAACAACUCCUAAACCUUUCCCAUUUUUUUUGAGAUUAUAGUACCGAUGUUAUUUUAAUAUUUAAAAAAAAAAUCUUAAUUUUUUUAAAAUUAAAUUAAGCUUUUCUUUGAGUUCAAACAAAUCAAUGAGGAAGGUUGGUUAUUUGUCCUGCCGCACCAUCCUAAAAUGUAAUGUAAUAACCAAUGUAAUUUGAUGUUUGUGUUUCAUGGGUUCGUGUUGUUGAUGCGUGCUAUUGUACUUUCUAGGUGAUAAGGAAAAAAUUAUUUAUUUUGUCAAAUAAUUUAUAUUUUUUUAUAUUUAGCUUUGUUUGUAAUUGCAUUUCCAAUGUUAAUUUAUAUAGGCCUUGAAUUGGUACCUUUUUAUCAGUUUGAGCGUAAUUACCACCAACUUUCUGUAGGAUGAUAUGGGUAUUUUAGAUAGUGUAGCAUGAUCUUUACCUGUUACGUUUUUUUUUUAUAGGAUAAUUAUUCUCUCUUUUUAUGUUUAUUUAACUUAAGGAUAAUCAGUCUCGAAAAUGCGAGGAUGUUUAUCAAAGAGCAGAGAUUGUCACGCUGCAUUAACAACCAACUGUUGUAGUCAAUUCUGGUAGGCUAAAAGUCAUCCACUUGAUUGAUUAAUGGACAUUAGCUGUUUAGCACUCCAUGGUACUUCAGGCUCCUUUCCUACCCUUUUCCUCGCAAGUGACUUGUUAAUUUGCUUUAUUAGUAUCGGUAAUUUUGUGCAGAACUGUUAUUAUUCUUUGAAAUCAGGCACGGUUCGAGGAUUCAGCAUAAAAGAAUUUGGGUAUAUUAAUUAAAGCUAAAUUUAUUUUUUUUAAUCUCAACACAAAAAAAAUUGAAACAGACAUGUUUUUAUGUACUUUAUAUCUUGAAAAUACAAGAAUCCGUCUAAAUUAAUACAUAUUUAUUUUAUAUCUUUGUUUUCAUCUCCUUGAGCAAACGUGUUUUUAUCAUUUCAAUGUCUAUCGUUUUUAUUUAGUAAUAUUUAACCAAAGGCCACCUUAAAGAUUCAUGCAUGAAACAUCCAUUUCCUAAUCAAGUACUAGGCCAAUUCUUUCAAGUUUAUAUGUUAGACUUACAAUAAAACACUAUGUUAUGUUUGGUAACCAGUAUAAGCAUCAACAAAGUUAAAUAAAAGGAUCAAACCCAAACACAUUAGUGUAAAACAAGGAUCCAAUUAUCAUCGAGCCUAUUUUAACUUAAUCUCAACAAUCGUGUCACUAGUUAUUAAUUAUAACCCAUAUCUUGCACCAGAAAAAAGAAGUUACCAUAACCAAAGCACAUGCGUCUCAUAUAAUUUGAUUACUUGAAAUAUGUCUUUGAGGUAUAAUGACAUCGAAUAGACAAGGUAAUUGAAUUAAAUUAUAGGUCUUUUACCGAUAUUUUAUUAAAAUAAUAUUUGUUUAUUUUUUUAAAAUAAAAUAAAUCUUUUUUAUGCUGAUUUAACUAGGUUUAGAUCAGGUUUUGUCUAAUAAUAAAAUCAUUAAAAAUCUAGUAAGGUAAACAUAGUUUCAUUGCAUCAAUGCUUUUCUAAUUUAAUUUUAAAUUUGAUCAUGUCAAGAUUUGAAUUUUAUAGCUUCCAAUAGCAAAUCAAAUCACGGACAUAAUUAAAAAAUGAUACUAUAAAUAAAUAAAAAAGAUUUUGGAAUAAAAUGAUCCACAUAUAUAUAUAUAUAUAUAACAAGGUAAAGGGUCAAACGGUGGAAGAUAAAAACCAAUAAUGUCUCAUAAUAAUUUCAUUUAUUGUGAAGAGUUACUAUAUUGAUUGUUUUUAUAUUUUUUUUUAAAAUCACAUCCAUUUAUCUAAAAUUACUAGUCUUUAAAUAAUAAAAUAAUUUUUUAUAUAUAAUUUGCUCUACAGAUCACAGUUAUUAAACCCGGCCCGGCCCGGCGAGUCGACCCGGUGCUGGACCGGUUCGGGUUUAAUAAAAGACCGGUUGUGGCAACAGCCCGGCCAGACCCAGGCGACCCGGGCAAACCCGGACGAGACCCGAGUUUUUUUUUUUUUUUUUUAAUUUGGGAUAAAAAAAAAUUUGGUUUAAAUAUUUCAACUUAAAAUGAUAACAUAGUAUCUUUUCAAUGUGGGGUUUGAAGCCCUUUCAUAUAUAUACUUUAUGUUCACAUGAAAAAAAUUAUAUUUUUUCAAUGUGGGAUUUAAAACCCAUUAGUAUAUAUACUUUAUGUUCCCAAGGAAAAAAUCAUGUUUUUUCAAUGUGGGAUAAAAAACCUUUUAGUUUAAAUACUUCAACUUAAAGGGAUAACAUAGUAUCUUUUCAAUGUGGGAUUUGAAGCCCUUUCAUAUAUAUACUCUAUGUUCCCAUGAAAAAAGUUAUGUUUUUUCAAUGUGGGAUUUGAAACCCAUUAGUAUAUAUACUCUAUGUUCCCAAGGAAAAAAUCAUGCUUUUUCAAUGUGUGAUAAAAAUCCUUUUGGUUUAAAUACUUCAACUUAAAGGGAUAACAUAGUAUCUUUUCAAUGUGGGAUUUGAAGCCCUUUCAUAUAUAUACUCUAUGUUCCCAUAAAAAAAGUGAUGUUUUUUAAACUAAAAUGUUUUUUAUCCCACAUUGAAAAAACAUGAUUUUUUUUCUUUAGGAAUAUAGAGUAUAUAUACUAAUGGGUUUCAAAUCCCACAUCGAAAAAACAUAUGAAAAGUUUUUUGAGUUAGACAAAUACUAAGCAACAUUCUAGCAUGUGCAAUGAAGUUUUUACAAUAUUCGUAGUAACGGUCACCAGCUAAUUUAUAAUUUAUAAAUCUACUUUAUCAAUGAAAAGUGAUAGAAGCAUAGUUAUUAAACCCGAUCCGAAAGCCGGAUUUCAGAUUUCAUGGAUCAACUCGGAUUAACCUAAAAAAAUUAAAAAUACAUAUUUAAAGUUUUAAUAUUUCAUAUAUAAAAAUUAAGAAAAAAUUAAACUCAUGUAAAUAUAGGCUAUACUUAUUGUAAAUAAUGAAGUUUAAAAAAUAUAUUUUAAUUUUUUUUUAUCAUACAUUAAAAAGAUACUAUAUUAACCUUUUAAGUUGAAGUAUUUAAAUCAAAAACGUUUUUUAUCUCAUAUUGAAAAAAUAACUUUUUUCUUUGGAACAUACAAUAUAUAUAUUAAUAGGUUUCAAAUCUCACAAUAAAAAACAUAAUUUUUUUCUUGGAAACAUAUAUAUAUAUAUAUAUAUAUAUAUAUAUAUAUAUAUAUAUAUAAAAGGACUUUAAAUUCUACAUUAAAAAAAUAUUAUAUUAUCCUUUUAAGUUAAAGUAUUUAAACUAAAAAAUAUUUUAAAUUGAUCUGCUGAUAUGGUAAAAUCCAGAGAUUUCUUGGAAAAUAAAUGAAAGACAAACAGAGUAAAAUGGAGUCCAGAGCAUACAAGAGCCGAGAUUGAAACAGGAAAUGCAAGAAAAAAAAGAUGGGCCCUUGUUUUCUCUUUUUUAUGGCCGGCGACUGGAUAUAAAAAGGGAGGAGAUGAAGUGCCCGUUUGGUAACGUGGCUGCGGGUGAGGUUCACCCGCAGCUACGCCAAAUGCCGUUUGGUUAACAAGAAAAAAUUGCUUUUUUGAUAGUGGAACACAUGAAAUUUUCAGACGCGCCACAUGUUUUGGAGAAGCAGCAAAAUGCUGCUUCUCAUAGUAUAGAAAAGCAGAACAGUGGAGCCAUGCUCCACUGUUACAGUUUUAGUUUUUUUUUUUUUUGAAAAACAUUGCGAGAAGUUAAUUUUUUUUUUCUUGAAAAAUUAUUUCAAUUAAUUGAUUUUACUCGCAUUGUGAACGUGAACAUGAACAAUAUUAUUUUUUAAAAAAAUUAGUUUAAGGUGAAUUAAAUUUACUCGUAUUGUAAUAUCAAUUUUAUUCCUGAUAAUAUUUUAUUUAAUUUUAUUGCACGCUCAAAAAAUUAUUUUUUCUGUAGUUCUUGUCAAAUGAAUUUUAUACAUAAUAAAAUUGUAAUUUUUUUAAAAAAAUUUUGUUUUACUUGAAAAACUACUAUUUAAUAUUAUUUAAUAACACAUCAUAUAAAAAGAAAUUCAGUUUUUAUUUUUAUUUUAAUUGUGUUUUAUUCAAAAACUUAAAAGGAGAUCGCUCAAUGACGUAACAAAAAAUUCAGUUUUUUGUUGUUGCGCGCUUAAGAAACCAUGAAAAAUAUAGUCCUUGUUAGAUAGAUUUCGUAUGUAAUGACAUUGCACAUAGUUUAAUGGAAGAAUAAAAAAUAUUUGAUAUCAAUAUUAUUUAUUUCAUGAUAUAAUAACAGUGGUUAAAUCUACAAUAUUUAAAUUAAAAAUCAUUAAUAUAUAAAUUUUUUAAUUAUUUUAUAACCUCAAUUUGAAAAGUAUUUUUUUACCAGACACAUUAAACUACUUUUUAUUCAAUUUCAACCACAGUUUUAACUAAACAUAUAUUUUUUCAAACCAACCUUAACUAAAAAUACUUUUUAUAAAAUAACUUUUUUAAAAUAAUAACCACAAUAACAACCUCAAUACCAAACAGACCCGAAGCUUUCAAAUUAUUUACAAUUUUGCGGUCACUUAUUGUGUCCAUGUCGUUUUGUGUAAUUGCCCAGCUACCGGUACUAUUUUAACACUGUUAAAAGUCUAAAUUAUCAAUAUUUCCCCAAUUUAUCUCUAAAAAAAAUUCACUUCAAUUAAUAGCAUUUUUUUUUAUUUCUUUUGUCAAUGUUUACCUCUUUUUGAUAAACUUGUAUAUUUUUGUACCAGAGGUCUAAAAUUAUUGUGUCCACUUAUUACUUAUUUAAAUUCAUUAGAAUGUUUUAAAUAACUUUUUUAAAUUUUAAUCCCAGAGUUUACAUGCGUAAUACAUGAGUUAUAUAAAUUAUGAUUCAAAAUAUUGUUAUAACUAAAUUAAAAAAAAAAUACAAAUGAUCAAACCAUUGAUGCUGGUGAUGCUCUCGUCUCCAGAAUGGUCCGCUUGUACUUGGCUGAUGGAGCUGAGGGAAAGCCAAUGGCUACAAAGUGCGAAUGUGAUUUUCGCGAAAUGAAUUAGGGCAAGCAAAUUUUGUUCUCCGUCAUUUUGUAAAUUCUCGCAGCUGCUUGUUAGACGCCAUAAAUAGUCUAAGCUUGUUGUUGAGAUUUUUUAUUUUCUGUAUAUGAAUUUAGAGUUAAUUUCUUGAAUAUUAAGUUUUCUGAUUUUUCUAUAUAAUUAAUUUUUUAAUUUGAUUUGAUUAGUAUUAUCGUACAUUUCUCAUUCUAAAAAAAAAAAAAUACCAGAAGAAUAUUUUCUUUCUAUUGAAAACAUUUGUGGUUAGAACAAAGUAAUUUUUACUGGAGUGUCGUUUUGGGAUGCAGCAUGAACUUUACCUGUCUAAUUUGUACGGCGUGAGAAGAUGUUGCUUUCCAUGGCUUCUCCUUAAAAAAAUUCCAUCACAUUUGACAAUUUUGUUAUAAAAACAAAAGAUAUAUCUUUUAAAGAAGAGAAGUGAUACCUAAAAUUUAUAAAUGAUCUAAACUCUUAAUUUUUAAUCGAUGAUCAUGUUACUGAAAAAACGUACUACGCUUGGAGGACAUAGAGAACGUCCUACGCUUUCAUUCGAGUUUAGCGCACACGAGAAACCUGAAUUCUUUAUAAGAAGCUUGGUAUAAAUAUAUUUCUUCUUAGACAUUAAUUAUUCAUGCAAUUGAAGUUGAGUUUGGGUUAGGUUUUGGAUAGGGCAUGGUAAUAUCUAACCUGAUCUGAAACUUGAUUUUUUAUCUUCAAGUUUUACAUCAAAUCAACUUGAAUUAAAAAAUUUCUUAAUUAUUUGAAUAAGUUCAAGACAAUAUCCAUAGAAUUCAAGUGAAAUCGGCCCGAGGAGGAUAUACAAGUAGACUUCUAGUUUUCUCAAAUAUUUUAAUUUUAAUGAUUGGACAAGAGAGCAAAAAUACCAUAUUAAUAUUUUUUUUCUUUUUAUGAAAAUAAAACAUAUCUUUUCUCACUAGCACAUAUUCAUCCCAACUUGAAAAUACAUUUUUAAUAACGUGAUUAUACGAUGAGGUCCCCACUUGUCAGGUAAAGCUUCGGCACCUCCUUCAAUCCUAGUUUGGGAAACAGAAGCACUCUAUCACCAUUAGUUUUCCCCGAGGAAGACAGCACCCCGAUUCCCUCCUCCUGUGCUGAUGAUGGGGCAUGAGAGAGAGUCCAUACGAGUUCAAAAUAAAAUUAUUAAUAUAUAAUUAAAUAAAAUUAAAAUUCACCUAGGUAAAAUUUUUAUAUAGACAAAUGCCAGGAUACAAAAAUUUUAUCCCGGGAACAUGAAAUUUACUAUUUGGAAUAUAGAGGGAAUUUAGUAAAAUUUUAGCGUAUGUGUGCGUGCUCCAGUAAAAAGAAAAAGAAGAAAAGAAAAAGAAGGAAACUAUCAUUUACAUAUGAGAGAGAUAAAAUUGUAACGAAAACAUAAAAUCUUAAGGGAAGAUCUUGAGGGAAAGUAACUAAGCUUUGUGAGCAUUAAUUGGAAGGAAUAAAAAUUAAAUGAAGGUGAGUAGAAAAGAAGAGAGGAAGUUCAACCAAGAUUGAAGAAGAGGAGGAGUUGAAAGCUUGAUUUGGAAAGUGUUUAGAGUUUAAUUACUUGCUUGGUAAUGCAUUCUAAAGACAUUUGAUCUAAAUUUUAAUUGCUUAAAGUUCUUAAUUGGUUGAAUUUUUGAAAUUAAAAAGUUAGGGCUCUUGAAUAAAUUUGAGAAAAAUAAAAAUUUAUUUUAAUUUGUCAUGGGAAAUAAUAUGAAAAUUAGAGUAAAGUGAUUAAAUUAUUAUAAUUAAAGUAAAAAUUUUGAUAAUUAAAUAGAGCUAGUGGCCGGCUAAUGAUGAGAGAUUUUAGAGGAUUUAAUUGUGAAUAAAUAUUGUGAAUUGAUGAACAAUAUAGUAAGUAGAACUGUUUUUUGAAUAUCUCUUUAUAACUUUUUAAAUUUUAUGGAACACUUGUGUUGAUUCUUGAGAUUGUGUGAAAUAUUACUACCAUGAAAAUAAAAAAAGGAAUUGAUGUCUAGAUAAGAAAUAUCAUUGAGUUGUUGGUUAAAAUCCAUAAAACGGUCUAAUUUUUAGAAAUAUAGUUUACUAUGAAAUUUAUUUGAUAAAAGAAAAGUAGGAACUUUAUGGUAUAUUUCCUUGACAAUGAGUACCCGAUUAAACAAUAUUUAUAUUAAAUUAAAACUUAUGGUAUGUAUCCUUGACAGCGAAAUAAAGAAAAGUAGGAACCUUGUAAUAUCUAGGUAAUUUUUAUGCCCUUUUAAGGAGCCCUACAAACUGAGGCUAUAAUGAGCCCAUGACAGAGGGAGACAGAAAAGCAUAAUUUCAGAAGACCAUGACACAAAUCAACAGCUGAAAUCCAAUCACUUAAGGGAUGGUGACAUGUCGCAUGAGUGGAGACAACUGGUCUUCAGUACAAAAAGAAACAAAGCGUUUUCAUUGUUUAAUUUGUUUUUUGAAGUGUCUUUGUUCUCGUGAUUGCUCUUGUGGUGAUGGAGACUUUAAAAAGAUAGUUUAUAAAAAUUAUUUUCACUCGUGAUUUGUUUGAUUUAAAUAAAUAUUUAAUUAAAAAUGUUUAACUAAAAUUAUGAUUAAAAUGGAUGUUUUAACUUAAAUUACCACAAAAGACACUGGUAAAGGGGGAGAUGAUGUGAGAGACGAUUGGGUAUUUUAUUUAAUUGUCAAAACAUUAACUGUUGUGGUCAAUUCUGGUGGACUAAAAGCCAUCUACUUGAUUAAUGGCCCUUUUCCUCGCUGGAUCCUUGAUAUUUUCAAGGGGUGCAAGCGCCUUGUUCGAGGAUUGAGCAUAAAAAGAUUAAAAAGAGUUAAAUUGAAAUAUAACUAAAACGGAUGAGUGUUUUAUUUUUAAGUGGUCAAUUCCUAUUGUUUUACGUGUUUUUUUUAAAAAAAAUUUUGCUUUUUUUUUUAAGUUUUUUUUUUUUUUUUUAAUUGAGCUGUUUUUUUUUUUUACUUUUUGCUUUUUUUUUUCUUUGUUUUUGUUUAAUGGAUAUUUUAAAAAAACAAAAUUGUUAAUAUUAAAUUUUUUUGUAUCUCAAACUUUUAUAACACGCAUUCUGAGUUUAACGGGUUAACUCAAAUUUUUUUUUCCUGGUUUCAUAGGUUAACCAAAUUAAUUAUGGGUUAACCCGUCAAUUUUGUUUCUAUACAGUUAUCAAACUUUCAUGACGCGAAUCCCUGGUUUGACGGGUUAACUUGGUUUGAGGAUUAACCCAAUUAAUUCGAUUUUUUUUUUAUUUUUUGCUUUUCUUUUUCUUCAUUUUUUCUUUGUUUUUUUUAAUGGAUAUUUUAAAAAUAAUUUUUUUUAUUAAUAUUAAAUUUUUUUCUAUCUCAAACUUUUAUAGCACGCAUUCCAGGUUUAAUUGGUUACCUCAGAUUUUUUUUUUUGGUUUUUCUUUUUAAUUAAAAUUUUCAUUUUCACAAUAAAACACUGAUUCCUUAGGCCUUUUUUUUUUUAAAUUGUCUUAGUUUUUUUAGUUGUUUUUUUUAUGUUUUUUGGGAAUUUUUUUUGCUUCUUCCUUUGUUUUUUUUUUAACAAAAUUUUUUUGUUUAAUUUAGUUUAUUAAUGUUUAUUUUUUUUUUUUGUCAGACUUUCAUGAUACGUUUACCGGAUUUAACGGGUUAACUUGGUUUGACAAGUUAAAAUAUUUUUUUUUUUGCUUUUUAUUCUUUUUAAUUAAUUUUUUUUUUGUUUAGUUUAGUUUGUUAAUGUUAAAUGUCUUUCUAUUUAGUUAUUAAACUUUCAUGACACAUAUCCUGAGUUUCACGGGUUAACCUGGUUUCACGGGUGAACCCAGUUAAUUCCGGAUUGACCCGUCAAUUUUUUUUUUUUCAUAAAUGUUUUAGUUUAAUUUAGUUUGUUAAUGUUAAUUUUUUUUUUAUUUAGUUAUCAGACUCUCAUGACACAGAUCCUGGGUUUUACGGGUUAGCAUGGUUUGACGUGGUAACCCCUGUUUUUUUUUCUUUUUAAUUAAUUUUUUUUUGUUUAGUUUAGUUUGUUAAUGUUCACUUUUUUUUUAUUUAGUUACCAGACAUUCAUGACACGGAUCCUGAGUUUAACGGGUUAACUUGGUUUGACGAGUUAACCUGAUUUUUUUUUUAAUUAUUUUUUUCGUUUCGUUUAGUUUCUAUUUAGUAUUUUUUUCUUCUUAGAGGUUUUUUUCUUUUAUGUUUUCUUUUUAAUUAAUUUAGUUUAUUAAUAUUAAAUUUUUUUCUAAUUAGUUUUUGGCUGAUGCCUUUAGUUUUUUUUUAUGCCUUUGACUGUGGACUGCACUGUGCAGUCCACAGUGAAAAGGCUGAUGCCUUUUGUUUUUUUUUUUAAUUAAUUUUUUUUGUUUAAUUUAAAUUGCUAAUGUUAAUUUUUUUUCUAUUUAGUUAUCAAACUUUCAUUACACGGAUUCCGGGUUUGACAGGUUAACUUGGUUUGACGAGUUAGCCCAGUUAAUUCUGGGUUAACCCAUUAAUUUGUUUUUUUUUUUAAUUAUCAAAUUUUAAUGAUGCGAAUUCAAGGUAUGACGGGUUAACCUGGUUUGAAGGGUUAACCCAAUUAAUUCAUUUUUUUUCAUUAGUUUUUUUCUUCUUGUUGGUUUUUUUUAACUACUCUAUUUAAUUAUCACACUUUUUUAACACGACCUUGCAGUCAGACCCACGUCCAAUGCUAUUGGAUCUGGUAUUGUAGUGCAGACACUUUUAUGCUAAUGGUUAACCCAAGUUUAAUGUUAUUAUUAAUAUUAUAAACAUUACUCUUGGAUCAGGCGAUGCAACCAAAACUGAGACUUUUGGGUAUAACCUUACAAAAAAACCUAACACUUUUAGAUCUUGGUUAUUUUUAAAAUGCAAAAAAUAAUUGACCCGCGGUAUCGCGCGGGGCAUGUAACUAAUACUAAAAGACAUAAAGUGAAGUUUUUUCAGCUCAUUUAUAAUUCAUAAUUUAUUUAUCAAUGAAUGAAAAGUAAUAAAAGAAAAGUGAUAAAAGAAGAAGAGAGAAGAAAUAAAGUGAAUUACCAUCUUAGGAUCUCUUGGCAAAUAAAGCAAGUAAAAUUAAUAAAAUGUGGGACCUAACUCCAAUUUCCUAGCACCCGCAACCCACGCAUACACAAACCCGUACUUUAUCAAUGAAGGAAAAGUGAUAAAAGAAGAAAAGAGAAGAAAUAAAGUGAAGUCUUCUUCUGCAUUAUUAGCACACCACGUGAAAAUAAAGACUGGCAUAUAAUAAAAGUUAUUCCAAUCAAACCCAUUUUUUCGACGAUGGGAUCUCUUGGCAAAUAAAGCGAGGACAACCGAGUAAAAUGGGGGACAUAACUCGUUUUUCCUGGCACACGCAACUCACGCAUACACUAACACUAAUUUGAGAUAUUUUUUUUUACUUUGGAGUUUACAGGCAAAUAAAGUGAGGAAGAACAUCUUCUUCUGCAUCAUCGCAUCACGUGAAAAGCUUGGCAUUUAAUGAAGUUUUUCCAAUCAAACCCACUCUUUUCAAAGAUGAAAUUUCUAGGAAAAUAAAUCAAAGACAAAACCGAGUAAAAUGGAAUUCCCGGCAUAAUGAUUAUUUUUUAAUAUAUUUUUUAUUUUUAAAAAAAUUAAAUAAUAUUUUUUUAUUUUUAAAAAUUAUUUUCAAUAUCAACACAUCAAAAUUAAAAUGAUUUAAAAAUAUUAAAAAUAUAUUCAUUUAAAAUAAAAAAAAUUUAAUUUUUUUUAAAAAUACUUUCCACCAAAAACAUAUUAGUCAAUAUCUGCAUGAUUAAUUAUGCACUUUGCAACCAUAAAUCUUCCUUUAAUCAUAAGAAUAUCUGCUGUUCAUAACGAGUCAUUCAAGUAUGAUUAUUUACUUAAAUAAUUAAUUAUGUUUAAUUAGAUCUAUCCAUAAGUUUGCAAUUGAGCUAAUUGUUCUAUAAUUACUGUAGCUAUGAAAGGUCAAGCACAAUUUCAUCCAAAACAAAACUCGUUAUUUUCAAAAAGAAAAAAUACCCCAAUUUUUUUCUUAUAUUUUAGUAUUUUUUAUAUUUAAAGGCAGUAUAGUUGUAAUAUUUUCAAGUAAUCGAAACAACCACCUAUGCAUCAAUUAUAUGAUAUACUGACUUGACUUUCCCAAGUGUUUUGAGUUUUGAGUACUAGAAGAAGAAAAUAUACUUCUCUCUAAAAAAUAAGGAAAUUUCAGAUGUAUUUUCUUUUAACUGGCGAAAAAACAGGAAGACGAAGAAAGGAAUAUUUUAUUUCUUCUAGGAGUAUGGUUAGCACGAGAGAAAAGAAAAGGGAAAGGCCUAUCGACUCUUUUUUUUUCCAUGUUCACGGGUAGUACGGAUCGCUUACCAUGAAAGCUAAUGGAAAUGCUCUUUCUCCAUGAAAGCUAAUGGAAAUAUGUAUAAAUCAUCAUUUUAUCUUUAUGUAGCAUAUUGUCCGAAGAUUGGGAAAUUUCGUGGGAAAUUGUCCGAAGACAGGAAACGUAAUUUCUCUCUAAAAAAUAAGGAAAUUUCAGAUGUAUUUUCUUUUAACUGGCGAAAAAACAGGAAGACAAAGAAAGAAAGGAAUAUCUUAUUUCUUGUAGGAGUAUGGUUAGCACGAGCUAUAAGAGUUGUACACGAGAGAAAAGAAAAGGGAAGGCCUAUCGAUUCUUUUUUUCUAUGUUCACAGGUAGUACGGAUCGCUUACCAUGAACAUCAAACCUAUCAUUCAUAAACUGUGCCUAGACUUCUUUAAUCAUUUACAUAUAUAAAUUUGGUUAAUCAAGUUGGAGAAGUUCGUGUCAAGAACCAUGCUGUAUAUGUUUGAUAAUGCAGUGAAUAUAAUUUUACAACAAUAUUUUUCAAUUAAUAAAAUAUUUCUUAAAGAAAUUUUCAAUAAUCUUGUUAAGAAAUUUGGGUGGCCAGACAUUUUAAAGAAUGAUGCUAGUUUCUGGCCACAAGUGGUCAUGCUAGUGACUAAUCACUUUUUGAUCAUGUCUGAUACUGGUGGUGAUCUUUUUUAUCAUCGUAUUUUCCAUCAAUUUUUUUUAACAAAAAGAAAGUUUUUAAAAUGAUUUUGUGAAAAUAACUUUUUAUAAAACAAAUGGUAACUAGUUUUGCAAUAUAUGCGCUUCAAAAGAAAGACCAAAGGUGACAUUUAUUAUAACUUUGCAACCACUGCUAGAUGUUCAUCAUGGCGUCUUCUUCUUCUUUGCCUAGACCUGUUUUGGUUUCCGAUGUAUUUCUAAGUUUUAGAGGUGAAGAUACUCGCAAAAAUUUUACGGAUCAUCUUUACACUGCUUUAGACCGAGCAGGAAUCCAAGCAUUUCGAGAUGACGAAAAACUUCGUAGUGGUGAAGAAAUCUCCUUACAACUCUCCAAAGCAAUUCAAGAAUCCAAGAUUUCUAUAGUGGUUUUCUCUAAGGGCUAUGCUUCCUCCACUUGGUGCCUUGGUGAACUUCUAAAGAUUCUUGAAUGCAGACACACAACUGGUCAGAUUGUUCUACCUGUUUUCUAUGAUAUCGAUCCUUCUGAUAUUAGAAAACAGACGGGGAGUUUUGCUAAAGCUUUCCGUAGACAUAAAAGACGUUUUAAGGAAGAAAUGGAGAAGGUCCAAAAGUGGAGAAAAGCUCUUGUGGAGGCUGCAAAUUUAACUGGGCUGGAUCGUCGCAGUAUCGCAAAUGGGUACUUCUUUUCUUCCCCUAUAUCAAUAGCAAAGGCUCAUAACUUUUACCCUUAUUACAUUUUGUAUUUUAAAUUUGCAUUAAAUUCAAAAGAUUAUCUUUCAUCGAUGAGUGAUGACUUUCUUUUUCUAUCCACAGGCACGAAUCAAAAUUAAUUCAAAAGAUUGUCGAAGAAGUUUCAAGUAAAUUGUAUCCCAGAAGCAUGAACGUUAGUAGUCUGCUGCAGAAGUUGAAGACAGCAAUGAUACCUGGCAGGGGGCUGCUUGACGAUGCUGAGGAGAAGCAGAUAACAAAUGCAGCUGUGCGGGAUUGGCUGGUCGCGUAUAAAGAUGCUGUCUAUGAAGCCGACGACUUCUUGGAUGAGAUUGCUUAUGAAGAUCUACGGCAGGAGUUGGAAGCUGAAGCUCAAAUCUUCAUUAUCCCACGUGAAAUAAUGGGGUUGAGAGAGAUUAGAAGAAAAAUCAAGAGCCUCCAUGAGAGACUAGAUGACUUAGUAAACAAAAGGAUGCCCUUGGUUUGAAUCAACCGCACUGGAAAAGAACCAUCAUCGCAAGACAAAACUUCUCUCGUGAUGAAUCUGGUGUUUAUGGUAGAGAUGAUGACAGCAAAGCAAUACUGAAGUUGCUUCUAUCAGAUGAUGCAAAUGGACAAAACCCAGGUGUCGUUCCCAUAGUAGGAAUGGGCGGGGUUGGUAAAACCACGCUUGCGCAGCUUGUAUACAAUCACAGCAGAGUACAAGAGUGGUUCAACCUCGAAGCUUGGGUUUGUGUUUCAGAAGAUUUCAGUGUUUUGAAGUUAACCAAGGUUAUCCUUGAGGCGUUCGGUUCAAAGCCUGAUUCUGAUAGACUGGAUAAGCUCCAGCUUCAGUUGAAGAAGAGAUUGGAGGGAAAUGAAUUCUUGCUUGUUUUAGAUGACGUUUGGAAUGAAGAUUAUGAUGAAUGGGAUAGGUUUCUUACCCCCCUGAAGUUCGGAGCACAAGGGAGUAAGAUUCUUGUCACAACACGCAAUGAAAGUGUAGCAUCAGUCAUGAGAACUGUUCCAACUCAUCAUCUAAAAGAAUUGACGGAAGACAGCUGCUGGUCUGUGUUCGCCAAACAUGCAUUUCGUGGUGAAAAUCCCAAUGAUUAUGAAGAGUUGCUAGAGAUUGGCAAAGCUAUAGCAAGAAAGUGUAAAGGCCUUCCUCUAGCUGCAAAAACACUCGGAGGUCAACUACGCACCCAAAGAGAUGCCGAGGAGUGGGAGAAGUUAUUGGAAAGCAAUCUAUGGGAUUUACCCAAUGAAGGUAUCCUCCACAUCUGAAGCAAUGUUUUGCUUAUUGUGCCAUAUUUCCAAAAGACUAUUCAUUUAAAAAGGAUGAAUUGGUUCUCUUUUGGAUGGCAGAGGGCUUCUUAGACCCCUCUGCAGUAGAUGAUGAGAUGGAAAAAGCAGGUGCUAUGUGCUUUGAUGAUCUCUUGUCAAGGUCCUUUUUCCAGCAAUCAAGUGUCUCUCGCUCAUCAUUUGUGAUGCACGAUCUCAUGCAUGACUUGGCUACCCAUGUGUCCGGUCAAUUUUGCUUCAGCUCCAGGUUGGGGGAAAAUAAUUCUUCCAAGGCCACCAGAAGGACUCGACAUUUAUCACAUACGGGAGCCGGUUUUCGCAGCACAAAAUUGGAAAACAUCCGUGAAGCCCAACUUAUACGCACAUUCCAAAAUUGGCAUCAUUUUCCUGGUUGGUACUAUAAAGAGAUCUUUCAUAUAUUGCCAACACUUGGGCGCCUACGUGUGCUAUCCUUGUCUGUCCAUCCCGGUGCAGCUAAGAUGCUUUGUUCAAUUAGCAAGUUGAAGCAUUUGCGGUAUUUGGAUCUCUCGUCGUCAGAAUAUUUAGUAACGUUGCCUGAAGAAGUGAGUGCUCUUCUCAAUUUGCAAACGUUGAUCUUGAAAAAGUGCCAACAACUUGCUAGUCUACCUGAUCUUGGAAAUUUGAAGCAUUUACGACAUCUGAAUCUUGAAGGAGCAGGAAUCAAAAGGUUGCCUGCAUCUCUGGUAAGGUUAAUCAACUUGCGGUAUCUUAACAUCUCAUGGACGAAUUCUUUGAAAGAGAUGCCACCACAUAUAGGUCAACUUGCAAAGCUCCAAACGUUGACUUUAUUUCUCGUGGGAAGACAAAGUGAGAAUAGCAUUAAAGAAUUGGGAAAGCUACGACAUCUACGGGGAAAACUUCAUAUUGAGAACCUUGAAAAUGUGGUGGAUGCUCGGGAUGCUGCUGAGGCAAAUUUGAAAUGUAAAAAGCUUGAUCAUCUGAUCUUUAGCUGGAAUGGUAAGACUCAUGACCCGCAACACGUAACAAGCACACUUGAGAAAUUAGAGCCAAAUAGAAAGGUGAAG